GUAGUCUGCAACCCGACUACAUGAAGCUGGAAUUGCUAGUAAUCGCAGAUCAGAAUGCUGCGGUGAAUACGUUCCCGGGCCUUGUACACACCGCCCGUCACACCAUGGGAGCCGGUAAUACCCGAAGUCAGUAGUCUAACCGCAAGGGGGGACGCUGCCGAAGGUAGGAUUGGCGACUGGGGUGAAGUCGUAACAAGGUAUC
RNAcentral lists this ribosomal RNA (202 nucleotides) under uncultured bacterium. RNAcentral describes it as "partial 16S ribosomal RNA". It matches the Rfam family "Bacterial small subunit ribosomal RNA", at positions 1300 to 1500 of the family's 1533-position model. The record is from RNAcentral.